RNAcentral lists this ribosomal RNA (468 nucleotides) under uncultured bacterium. RNAcentral's name for it is "partial 16S ribosomal RNA". It matches the Rfam family "Bacterial small subunit ribosomal RNA", at positions 28 to 507 of the family's 1533-position model. The record is from RNAcentral.
GAUGAACGCUGGCGGCGUGCCUAAUACAUGCAAGUCGAACGGACAGGCCCUGAUUUUGCUGGUCUCACGUUUGGCGAACAGGGGAGUAACACACGUGUAUACCCUCCCUGUCAUUGUGGUAAAUUUUCGGAACAGGGGAGAAUAUCCGGUAUGACCUCCUGCUGCACGGGGGUGGUUAGUAAGUGUCGGCGGUUGUGGAUCGUCUCGAGGGUUCUCAGCCUGUUUGUGGGGUAGUGGCUUACCAAGGCUUUGACGGGUAGCCGGCCUGAGAGGGUGACCGGCCACAUUGGGACUGAGAUACGGCCCAGACUCCUACGGGAGGCAGCAGUGGGGAAUAUUGCACAAUGGGCGGAAGCCUGAUGCAGCAACGCCGCGUGCGGGAUGACGGCCUUCGGGUUGUAAACCGAUUUCGCCUGUGACGAAGCGUGAGUGACGGUAAUGGGUAAAGAAGCACCGGCUAACUACGUG